CCUGGCUCAGAAUGAACGCUGGCGGCGUGCCUAACACAUGCAAGUCGUACGAGAAAGGGGCUUCGGCCCUGAGUAGAGUGGCGCACGGGUGAGUAACGCGUGGGUAAUCUACCCUUGGAUUUGGGAUAACUUCGCGAAAGCGGAGCUAAUACCGGAUAGUCUGGCUUUAAUUAAGAAGUCGGUAAAGGAUGCCUCUGCAUAUGCAUUCGUCCGAGGAUGAGCCCGCGUCUCAUUAGCUAGUUGGUAGGGUAAUGGCCUACCAAGGCAACGAUGAGUAGCUGGUCUGAGAGGAUGAUCAGCCACACUGGAACUGGAACACGGUCCAGACUCCUACGGGAGGCAGCAGUGAGGAAUUUUGCGCAAUGGGGGCAACCCUGACGCAGCAACGCCGCGUGAGUGAAGAAGGCCUUUGGGUCGUAAAGCUCUGUCAACAGGGAAGAAGUUACAAUUGUUUAAUAGAUGGUUGUAUUGACGGUACCUGUGGAGGAAGCGCCGGCUAACUCCGUGCCAGCAGCCGCGGUAAUACGGGGGGCGCAAGCGUUAUUCGGAAUUAUUGGGCGUAAAGGGCGCGCAGGCGGUCUUGUCCGUCAGGUGUGAAAGCUCGGGGCUCAACCCCGGAAGUGCACUUGAAACAGCAAGACUUGAAUACGGGAGAGGAAAGCGGAAUUCCUGGUGUAGAGGUGAAAUUCGUAGAUAUCAGGAGGAACACCGAUGGCGAAGGCAGCUUUCUGGACCGAUAUUGACGCUGAGGCGCGAAGGCGUGGGUAGCAAACGGGAUUAGAUACCCCGGUAGUCCACGCAGUAAACGUUGUACACUCGGUGUAGCGGGUAUUAAAACCUGCUGUGCCCAAGCUAACGCAUUAAGUGUACCGCCUGGGAAGUACGGUCGCAAGACUAAAACUCAAAGGAAUUGACGGGGGCCCGCACAAGCGGUGGAGCAUGUGGUUUAAUUCGACGCAACGCGAAGAACCUUACCUGGGUUUGACAUCCUGUGAAUAUCCCGUAAUUGGGAUAGUGCCUUCGGGAGCACAGAGACAGGUGCUGCAUGGCUGUCGUCAGCUCGUGUCGUGAGAUGUUGGGUUAAGUCCCGCAACGAGCGCAACCCUCGUCACUAGUUACUAACGGUUCGGCCGAGGACUCUAGUGAGACUGCCUUCGUAAGGAGGAGGAAGGUGAGGACGACGUCAAGUCAUCAUGGCCCUUACGGCCAGGGCGACACACGUGCUACAAUGGGAUGUACAAUGAGACGCAAUACCGCGAGGUGGAGCAAAUCUAUAAAGCAUCUCUCAGUUCGGAUUGUAGUCUGCAACUCGACUACAUGAAGCUGGAAUCACUAGUAAUCGUAGAUCAGCCAUGCUACGGUGAAUACGUUCCCGGGUCUUGUACUCACCGCCCGUCACACCAUGGGAGUUGAUUUCACCCGAAGCGGGGAAGCUAAACUGGCUACCCUCCACGGUGGAAUCAGCGACUGGAGU
RNAcentral lists this ribosomal RNA (1474 nucleotides) under uncultured bacterium. Its description in RNAcentral is "bacterial SSU rRNA". It matches the Rfam family "Bacterial small subunit ribosomal RNA". The record is from RNAcentral.